Molecule: ribosomal RNA, 428 nt
Filed under: uncultured archaeon
Lineage: Archaea
Description: bacterial SSU rRNA
Rfam family: Archaeal small subunit ribosomal RNA
Source: RNAcentral
AACCAGCUCUUCAAGUGGUCGGGAUGAUUAUUGGGCUUAAAGUGUUCGUAGCCGGUUUAGUAAGUUCCUGGUGAAAUCAGGUAGCUUAACUAUCUGUAUGCUAGGAAUACUACUAUACUAGAGGGCGGGAGAGGUCUGAGGUACUAUAGGGGUAGGGGUGAAAUCUUAUAAUCCUUGUAGGACCACCAGUGGCGAAGGCGUCAGACUGGAACGUGCCUGACGGUGAGGGACGAAAGCCAGGGGAGCGAACCGGAUUAGAUACCCGGGUAGUCCUGGCCGUAAACGAUGCAUACUAGGUGAUGGCCCGGCCAUGAGCCGUGUCAGUGCCGUAGGGAAACCGUUAAGUGUGCCGCCUGGGAAGUACGGUCGCAAGGCUAAAAUUUAAAGGAAUUGGCGGGGAGCACCACAAGGGGUGAAGCCUGCGGUUC